This is a long non-coding RNA of Anguilla rostrata (American eel), 920 nucleotides long. RefSeq lists it as uncharacterized. The transcript is spliced from 2 exons. NCBI's taxonomy places the organism in Eukaryota, Metazoa, Chordata, Actinopteri, Anguilliformes, Anguillidae. The record is from RefSeq and is a predicted model, not a curated record.
UCCUUGGGACACUGAAUUUUCACAAGCUAGCUAACUUAGUAGGCCUAUAUAAAGUAUCCACAGCUAAGGACGUUGACUUAUAUUGUGGGAAAUAAAUAUAGAUGUACUCAAAAAACACAAGCCCAUUGUAUUGGGAAAGAUAUGUAGUUAGAGAGCACAGGCCCAGUGUAUAUGGGAAAGGAAUGUAUUAAUGAGCACCAACUGUCUCCUCCCUGACGUAUCAUCCGGCUAGCAAAAGAGGAAGGAUGCAGGUGGACCAAGGUCGACCUUAGCCAUAAGAUUAACAACCGGCAGCAGGGAAGCGCUUCAUACUAAAAUAGGUGCGAUUAGAACAAACACGUAAUACACACAUAAUUUCUGCCCUGCUAAUUAAGCUGUAUACAAGCACAUCUGUGGAACUAACGGAAGCUUCUGCCUUUUCUGGAAAAUGUGUUGUCAGAAUAUGUGAUUUAUGAUAGAAGGGGGAGAGAGAUUCAAGUGGGAGACGAGCACUAUCAUUUUUAAAAAAUAAGGAAGGAAGGGGCUGAUAAAUAAUGGUGUCCGAGAAUUGGGAAAUAAUGGUGUCUGAAAAAUGAGAAACAAUGAUGUGUGGGAAAAGAGUAAAGUAAAAUGAUGUAACCAUGAGGGACAGUACAAGAUUGAGCUCCACAACAGGAGGAGCUAAGAUAGGAUAAAAGGGAGUGUUCGGCCCCAGGGGAGGGGAGUAUGUCUUGUAUGUCUUGGGAGGGGAGUAUGUCUUGUAUGUCUUGUAUGUCUCGUGUGUCUUGUGUGUCCUGUCUGUGUGUGUGUGUGCGUCUUAUGUGUUUUCUGUGAAGUGUCUUGUGGAAUGCUUUGAGACAGUUUGUAUUGAUGUGUGCAGAUCAGCCCGGGUUCUUGCAUGUUAUCUUUGAAUUACCUGCAAUAAAUCCAGUUGCAUCAGA